GUUGAGCUAACCAGUACUAAUGAACCGUGAGGCUUAACCUGACAACACCGAAGGUGUUUUAG
Molecule: ribosomal RNA, 62 nt
Filed under: Providencia stuartii
Lineage: Bacteria; Pseudomonadati; Pseudomonadota; Gammaproteobacteria; Enterobacterales; Morganellaceae
Description: partial 23S ribosomal RNA
Source: RNAcentral